GACGAAGGGGGCUAGCGUUGUUCGGAAUUACUGGGCGUAAAGCGCGUGUAGGCGGUUGCCCAAGUCGGGUGUGAAAGCCUUGAGCUCAACUCAAGAAAUGCACUCGGUACUGGGUGACUAGAGGACCGGAGAGGAUAGUGGAAUUCCCAGUGUAGUGGUAGAAAUACGUAGAGAUGGAAGAACACCAGUGGCGAAGGCGGCUAUCUGGACGGUUUCUGACGCUAAGACGCGAAAGCGUGGGGAGCAAACAGG
This 252-nucleotide ribosomal RNA is filed under the name uncultured bacterium. Its description in RNAcentral is "partial 16S ribosomal RNA". It matches the Rfam family "Bacterial small subunit ribosomal RNA", at positions 524 to 776 of the family's 1533-position model. The record is from RNAcentral.